AACGUACGCUGGCGGCACGCCUAACACAUGCAAGUCGAGCGAGGUAGCAAUACCUAGCGGCAGACGGGUGAGUAACAUGUGGGAAUCUGCCUUUUGGUUCGGAACAACACGGGGAAACCUGUGCUAAUACCGGAUAAGUCCUAACGGAGAAAGUUUUAAUGCCAAAAGAUGAGCCCGCAUUUGAUUAGCUAGUUGGUAAGGUAAAAGCUUACCAAGGCGACAAUCAAUAGCUGAUUUGAGAGGAUGAUCAGCCACACUGGGACUGAGAUACGGCCCAGACUCCUACGGGAGGCAGCAGUGGGGAAUCUUGCACAAUGGGCGAAAGCCUGAUGCAGCGAUGCCGCGUGAGUGAAGAAGGCCUUUGGGUUGUAAAGCUCUUUUGUCGGGAAAGAUAAUGACUGUACCCGAAGAAUAAGGUCCGGCUAACUUCGUGCCAGCAGCCGCGGUAAUACGAAGGGACCUAGCGUAGUUCGGAAUUACUGGGCGUAAAGAGUAUGUAGGCGGCUAGAUAAGUUAAUUGUGAAAGCCCAAAGCUUAACUUUGGAAUUGCAAUUAAAACUAUUUAGCUGGAGUAUGAUAGAGGAAAGCGGAAUACAUAGUGUAGAGGUGAAAUUCGUAGAUAUUAUGUAGAACACCAGUUGCGAAGGCGGCUUUCUGGAUCAUUACUGACGCUGAGAUACGAAAGUAUGGGUAGCGAAGAGGAUUAGAUACCCUCGUAGUCCAUACCAUAAACGAUGAUUAUUAGAUGUGGGGAAUUAUUUCUCUGUAUCAUAGCUAACGCGUUAAAUAAUCCGCCUGGGGAGUACGACCGCAAGGUUAAAACUCAAAUGAAUUGACGGGGACCCGCACAAGCGGUGGAGCAUGUGGUUUAAUUCGAAGCAACGCGCAGAACCUUACCAACCCUUGACAUGUUCGUCGCGAGACUAAGAAAUUAGUCU
Molecule: ribosomal RNA, 938 nt
Filed under: uncultured bacterium
Lineage: Bacteria
Description: bacterial SSU rRNA
Rfam family: Bacterial small subunit ribosomal RNA
Source: RNAcentral